RNAcentral lists this ribosomal RNA (484 nucleotides) under uncultured bacterium. RNAcentral describes it as "partial 16S ribosomal RNA". It matches the Rfam family "Bacterial small subunit ribosomal RNA", at positions 29 to 507 of the family's 1533-position model. The record is from RNAcentral.
AGUGAACGCUGGCGGCAGGCCUAACACAUGCAAGUCGAACGGAUGAACAGAGCGUGCUCGUUGUUUCAGCUGCGGAGUGGUGGGUAGUUCCUGGGAAUCUGGCUGUUUGUUUUUUAUAAGGUCCUGAAACGGGGACUAAUACGCCAAACGCCCUUACGGAGUACGUGUGGAAGCUUGGGACCUCCGGCUAUCAGAUGAGCCUAUGUCGGAUUAGCUAGUUGGUGGGGUAAAGGCCUACCAAGGCGACGAUCCGUAACUGGUCUGAGAGGAUGAUCAGUCACACUGGAACUGAGACACGGUCCAGACUCCUACGGGAGGCAGCAGUGGGGAAUAUUGGACAAUGGGCGCAAGCCUGAUCCAGCCAUGCCGCGUGUGUGAAGAAGGUCUUCGGGUUGUAAAGCCCUUUAGGUGGGGAGGAAAAGCAGUAGGUUAAUACCUCGCUGUUUUGACGUUACCCAAAGAAUAAGCACCGGCUAACUUCGUG